Molecule: long non-coding RNA, 2028 nt
Filed under: Sus scrofa (pig)
Lineage: Eukaryota; Metazoa; Chordata; Mammalia; Artiodactyla; Suidae
Description: lncRNA (ENSSSCG00035018690.1)
Rfam family: mir-205 microRNA precursor family (bases 1634-1707)
Source: RNAcentral
GAGUUUGCUGGCUCCGUCUCCAGUUCCUUUUGUCUCUUCCCACAUCCCCUCACUCAAGGUCUCUGGGAGCCUGGGCCUUCAGAGACAGCCCUCAGAUCACCUGAGUCGCCCAAGGAUGGAGACCUCCCCCCCAUUUUCCAGAACAAUAAGGUUAGAUGCAGAAAGGCCUGGCCAUUCCCAGCCACCACCCCCCGACUCCUCCCCAGGUGUGGGUGCUGAGAGGUGGAGCCACAGCCAGGCCUCUCCCCAUUGGGCGGGCUCCACAGGUAACCUGAAGCUGUGCUGCCAGGUGCAUAAAUAAAGUGUGGGGCUAUGGUACCACCUCCUUGAAAGGGGCCGAGUUCUUCCUCAGCCUCGCCUUGGAAAAACCAGCUUCUCUCCCUUUCAUUGUCUGUUCCCAGCUCCUGUGCUGCAAGCUCAUCUGAGCCCCCCACACUCCAAACUCUCUCUUUCCGGGUCCUUGAACUCCCCUCUCUGCCAAUCCACUUUCCUCUGCCUUCGUACUCUUCACCAUUAAGGGAGAGGGGCUGUCCGGGACCAGCCCCCACCGCCCCGCAGGACCCACUUCUGUUCUGCACGGGCCUGCUCAGCUGAACUCCCUCUACGGCAAGGGCUUCUUGUUUCUUACUCGCUGUCCUCCAAUCUUCGGAAGGCAAGAGCAGUCCAAGGCUUGGAAUUCCUUUCCUUCUCUCGCAUGCACGAGUCUCCAGCCACCUCUUUGUUCUGAAUUCUCUCAUGAAAGUUCUUUCGAAACAAGCUCAAAGAAGGCCCUGCCCUCUGACGGUACAGACCCUGAUACCUCCAGACACGGUCGUCGCUGGAGUGUCCGUCUUGGAGGUUAAGGACCCCAGAGGUGGGUGAGGCUCUCUGCACGUGCCCGUUGAGGAUUUGAAGAAUCUGGUGGACUGUACCCAUUGGGAGGAUCUAUGGCCUCCCAUCAUCUCCUGGCAUCGCUUAUCAGCGCCAAACAGGUUGGGGAAGGAUGUGGGGCCACUAGAAAGUGGCCACCCGAGGUGGAUCCCUAGGAGCAACACCAAGGAGGCUUACCCUCCUCUGCCUACCCGGGGCCCAAAGAGCACGCCUGCCUCCGGCCAGGUGUUCUUCCCCCCAGUUCACACCCGCACACGGGCCGGCCGCGCAAAGCGCUGCUCAGGCUCUUUGGAGGGUGCGGGCUGGAGAGGAACUGCUCCGCCCCGCCUUCCAGGGCCCUGGUUCGAAGGCGCGGGAGACGCAUUUUCCCAAAGCGGAAAUCUCAGAACACCUGCCUCCCCAGCACGGGGGGAAGACGCCCAGCAGCCCAGCUGGGUAAAGGCAGAGACGUUUCCAUGCGGAUGUGGGUGGGAUGGUCCCUCAAGGGUGAGAAACAGCAGAGGUCCCAGCCGGGCAGCGCCGGCCCACCCCGCGGCCCCGUCUGUGCCGCAGACACAGGGAGGUUCCGGCGAGCUGGCUCUGGGCAGCUCCGGAGGGAAGUGGUCUCCGCCAGAGGGUGUGAGGACUCGGAUCUUCCCCAUUCCCCGCGACCGUGACUCCGAUCGUGGAGGCUUUCGGCCAGGCAACCAACGACCUGGUGUAUCGAGGCCAGGGUUGCCCCGUGGCCCAGACUCAGCACAAGACCUCGGAACAGUCCACGUGUUUCUCUUGUCCUUCAUUCCACCGGAGUCUGUCUCAUACCCAACCAGAUUUCAGUGGAGUGAAGCUCAGGAGGCGUGGAGCUGACACCGCAGCAGAAGCGGCGACAAGAAGAGCUCUGUGAUGCAUGCGGUCGCCCGCCGACUCCCGGGCCUUCGACGUCACCGCCCCUUUGGGUUACAAUGGAGACCUGAGCUCAACGACUGGCUCGGGUUCCCUCCCUACGUGGGUCCUCCAGGCAGGUGGCUGGAACUCUAUUCCCAAUCAGCAAGGAACCCUCUGCCCUGCCCCCCCCAGAGGACCCGCAGGACCUGCACAAGGGGGUUAAAAAACGACGAGGAUUUAAAAGAGCAUUUAUAUCGUAAUAAAAUAAAUGUAAAUAUGAUGGACGUGAAGGCA